Molecule: long non-coding RNA, 1168 nt
Organism: Artibeus jamaicensis (Jamaican fruit-eating bat)
Lineage: Eukaryota; Metazoa; Chordata; Mammalia; Chiroptera; Phyllostomidae
Exons: 3
Source: RefSeq, a predicted model, not a curated record
GGCUGGCGUGCUACCCUGGAGCCUGCCCUGCAGGCGUCUUCUUCCGAGGGCCGUUCCCAGCGCCUCUGCCUUCGCCAAGGCUGGUACAGACGGCCGCUUGGGCCUUAAGGCACCGCAUUAACCCAGUUCCAGUUUCCUGUGGUUCUAGAUGGGGUUAAUAAUGGAAACUGAGAGAACUGAUGGAUGACAUUAAUGAACUAGAAGGCCAAGCCAGAGGCCCAGAUAAAAGGUUCUGCUUCCAAAAGACCCUGCACAACCCAGGGGACUGUUACAGCCAUUGAAGAACAAUUCACUCCCUCGUCCGGACACAGGGCCACACCGAACACCUACCACGCUCUACGAGACAGAGAUGGUGACGUGAGAAAACUCCGCUCAGAGAGGCUGAUGUCACGGUGCUGAUUCAGCUGGUGUAAUGUAUUCUUGGUUAUCAAAAUGAGGCAGGACAGUGAGAAGCGAGGAGAGUUCCUUGGCGAGUGGAAUAGGGAAACUCAGAUUAGUAGCUGAACAAGCCGGCUGGGUGAUUUACAGCCAGAUACAGAGGCACUUCCCUGGAGACAACAUCGAGGCCUCAUUUGUGUUCCAGCUCCAGGCCCAGAAAAGCAGCAUGACCAGGUGGACGACCCCAGGACCAGCUACAAUGACUGAUGACACCCUGUCCCGCCCUGACCAACCAGUAGAGCCUAAUAAACUAAAAGGGUGCACCUGGAGAACUGAUGCAUGUUCUGCUGGAGUUUUCUCUAGAGACUUAAGAUUUCCACCAGCGAGAGAGAGAUAAAAGCCUCAAGACAAAGGACCCAGUGUUCUCUCCCUCUGGGCAGCAGCCCAAUCCAUUCCCUUCCCCCUCUUCUUCCCCCACAGGUGUGCAUCUCCUAAACUCUAAGAGUCCUCAGGAGACUUGCAUCCAGGGUAGCAAUGGGCAGUGGCACUGGUCCCAGGCUGAUCCCCUGAACUUGUCCCCAAGGCCCCCUUUUCUCUGGCUUCCCAGUGAGUCAAAACAGCCCAGCCUGGGCUCCCCUGUUGCUUCUUCUAUGCUGAGCCCUUCCUCGUUCCACUGUCCCCAGCUUUAAUAAAUGCACUCUCGUAGCCCCCUGGACUCAUGUUGUGAAAGCUUUCCUACAUGAAGCCAAGAACCCUCACAUGACAUCUGGUCCCAGGCGGACACGCUCAG